Molecule: long non-coding RNA, 1279 nt
Organism: Eurytemora carolleeae
Lineage: Eukaryota; Metazoa; Arthropoda; Copepoda; Calanoida; Temoridae
Exons: 4
Source: RefSeq, a predicted model, not a curated record
UUAAAACUUCCUUUUCAAAAUGUACAACUAAAUUUUAUUAUUAAGCGAAUUUAGGUGAAUUUUGAGGAUACUUCAUCUAUAGAUGUUACUUCAAGUAUUAAUUUCUUCAUUGAUUCUGCAGCAUAAUUCCGCAAGUCUCAUUUAUUAUUUAUUAUUUUCUCGAUCGAUUGUUAUUGCCAUGAUUUAUAGAGAUUAUUUAUCAGAGGUUUCGAGGGUUAAACCAUUUUUAAAUGGAGGGUCACUUGAAAUUGCGUCUAUUGUGUCUACACUAGAGAUACACUAUGGUUUAAGGAGCGGUUUACUUUAACAGGAUUAAUAUUAUUGAGAAAAAGAGAAGUUUGUUUAUUAUUUUAAUAAUAACGUUUGUUGAUUUCUGUCUUUUGAGUCAUUUGUAUUCCAAGUUCGUCUAUUUUAUUUGUAUGUUAUCACUUCUUUAUUCGUACAUUGUUAGCAUAGCUGGAUCAGAACUAAUACAUGAGAGAAUUAGUUGAACUACUUAUAUACUAAGUUGAACCACUUUUCUCCAUCAAGAAAACAGCAUGUGUUUACGCUAUUCAUAAAAUAUGACUCCUUGUAAUUUUCGAACUUAAAAUUUUUAAAGAAUUAAGAAUAUUAUAUUUUUAAAUCAGAUUUGAAUAAUUACUGCGCUGUCUCUUAUUUGUACUUUUCACGAAGUCCCGGAUCACAUGUUUCCAUCAUUACUGCUAAUAUAACACUGAGUACAGAAAAGUAAAAACUUUAAAUGCGUCCAUACACCAACAUGUGUGGUGUAAUAAGAAUUAGUCUCCCUCCAGAUAUCCAAGCCGGGGUUCCCGGGCAGUCCAAGCCGGGGUUUCAAAGCAGUCCAGGCAGGGGUUCCCAGGCAGUCCAUGCCAACCAGGAUUCUCAGGCACUAGUAGCUGGUCCAUUUCCUUGAUGGCAUGGGUUGACGUGCAAACAUCAGGCGUGCGAGAUUCACAUGAGGAACCAUCAAAUUGGCUUGAAAACCAGAAACCCAGGGUGAAAACCAUAAGAAAGUAACAAGACCAAAAAGAGCUUCUCAAAUUGGGUAGCAUCUGACUCUGCAGAAUCACUAAAAACUGCUACCACAACUGAGGAAAAGAAUGGAGCAGAACUGUCUGAAAAUGGAAUGAAAGAGGAGUAUGAGACCAGUUGGAGAUGAUUAUUUUGACUUAGGAGGACUUCUUGGGUUACUUCCUCAAGCACUGGUGCUGGGCGGGGAAAUCCCCAGAGGUUUAUUUUUGUGGACUUAAACUUUCAAUAAAUUCAGCAUCUCAUA